Molecule: ribosomal RNA, 219 nt
Filed under: uncultured bacterium
Lineage: Bacteria
Description: partial 16S ribosomal RNA
Rfam family: Bacterial small subunit ribosomal RNA
Source: RNAcentral
ACGCUCGACACCUACGGGAGGCAGCAGUGAGGAAUAUUGGUCAAUGGGGCGCAGGCCUGAACCAGCCAAGUAGCGUGAAGGAUGACUGCCCUAUGGGUUGUAAACUUCUUUUAUAUGGGAAUAAAGUUUUCCACGUGUGGAAUUUUGUAUGUACCAUAUGAAUAAGGAUCGGCUAACUCCGUGCCACAGCCGCGGUAAUCUGAGGCGGGCUGGCAAGGC